GGGGCCGACCUGGUUUCGACGUGGGUGCGGAUCCGGAGUAGGGCAUGCCGAGCACCAGUUCGCUCGUAAAUCCACUGGAAACAAACCAACUGCGAACGACGAACGUUUCGCCCUCGCCGCUUAAACACCGGUGAGCCUCUCAACGGCAGGCCGAUGGGCCGGGUCCGCAAGGGCUGAGAGGUCAUUCACAUCGGCUGGUCCUGGGGCAGGCUUCUUGCCCCAAGACGAGACUCAAGAGGCUGGGGCCCGACGUAGCGUGCGCGAUGCGCGACCUGGGCCCGAGAUUCAAAUCAUCGCGCUAAGCAUGUAGAUCUGCCCGGCGAUGGCUUGCGGACGGGGGUUCAAUUCCCCCCGGCUCCACCA
Molecule: transfer-messenger RNA, 363 nt
Filed under: Polaromonas sp.
Lineage: Bacteria; Pseudomonadati; Pseudomonadota; Betaproteobacteria; Burkholderiales; Comamonadaceae
Also listed under: 1 other name
Rfam family: transfer-messenger RNA
About the family: Bacterial tmRNA, also known as 10Sa RNA or SsrA, is named for its dual tRNA and mRNA-like properties. Its role is to liberate the mRNA from a stalled ribosome.
Source: RNAcentral